CGGGAACAAUUCCCGUUAAAAGAUGGACACAAUAUAGUAAAGGUAAAGGUAAAGGUAAAGGUUUCCCCUGACAUUAAGCCUGGCCGUGUCCGACCUUUUAAACUGCAGUCACCCUGUGAAUUACAUUCACAGAUUAUCUGUUCCUAACCAGGAGACAGACUACCUUAAAAUAAGUCACCAAACUUAUUUUAAACUGGCCCAGAAAUAAGCAAUUGAGCCUCCCUGAUUCCUUCAACUGAGAAUCAGUCUUCCCUAUACCUCAUCAGGGCACAGACUAACGAAAAUAAGUCACCAAACUUAUUUUAAACUGACUCAAUUAAGAAAUUGACUUGAACUUCAUUCAUUGAAAGUUCAUUGAACUUCACUGAAAGUGCUUCAUUCGGAUAUUGUUGAAUGCCUGUCUGAAUGAAAUGUGUUAUGAUCAGCCAAUCAGACAAAACAAGUAGAACCGGACAAACAACAUCAAUAACAAGAUCAUACAAAAAACCAAUACAAAUGUUUGUCAAGCUGACCACUCACUCUUGACCUUGUCCUCCUCCCUUCUCCUGGACCAACGGCCACCUAACAGAUUAGGUGUCCCCUAACCAUGAAGAAGUCUACAAUUCCGGUUCUUGAGUGACUUAGGCUGAGAAGGGUCAGUCCCCAAGACGUCUUGUGAGCGGGUCUGGGGUGGCCGAAGGGUUUUCCCGGCCCUUAACCGGCUUUCCCUCCCUCCCUCCCUCCCUCCGCUUCCCUCCGGGCAGAUGGCCGGGAAGUGGUACCCGGUGAGGAGCGCCACGUCGGAGGACCAACCGAGAGCCCUCCACGGCUUCGCCCUGGAGCCCACGGCCAGCGGAGGCUUCGCCAUGAAGCUCGAGAUCCCCCAGAAGGGGUCCUGCAGUGUGAAAAACCUUGAUUUGACCCAGGUCAGCCCCGGGGUCUUCACCUCACCAGAGGGAAAGGCGACCGUCAUGGACACCGACUACACAACCUAUAUGUUCGUAGAACUUUCCAAGGACACCACGCGCAUCCUGGUUUACUAUGCCAGAGAAAAGAAAGUGGAUAAGAAAAUCAAGAAGAAGUUUCGGAGCAUUGUCAAAAAGGCGGGGAUGAAAACCGCAAAACGUUUAAUACCCCGAAAAGAAGAUAUGUGCUAAAACCCCUCCUGCGAAAGCAUAGGUAAAAUUAAUAUAUAUUAUUAUGUUUAUAUAUAGACUAGCUGUGCCCGGCCACGCGUUGCUGUGGCGAACGAAGUCUGGUGGUCUGGGAAAUAAAGUAUUGAGGAAUUGGUGGUAGUUAAGGUCAAGGGUAAAGGUUUUCCCCUGACAUUAAGUCCAUUAUAAAUGGGUUAUAUAGCUGUGUGGAAGGGCCUUGAGUCUACACUGCUUAGCCUUCUAACUGGCAGCAAUUGGAUAAAAACAAUUAUUCAGUCCAGUCGUGUCUGACUGGGGGUUGGUGCUCAUCUUGAGUCUACGCUGCCAUAUAAUCCAGUUGAAAUCAGAUAAUCUGUAUUUUAUAGGCAGUGUGGAAGAGGCCUAAGUGAGGCCUAACUCUGCCUGUCCCCUGGGCUCAGUGGGUUGCUAGGAGACCAAGUGGGCGGAGCUUAGCCUUCUAACUGGCAGCAAUUGGAUAAAAACAAUUAUUAAGUCUAGUCGUGUCUGACUGGGGGCUGGUGCUCAUCUUGAGUCUACGCUGCCAUAUAAUCCAGUUGAAAUCAAAUAAUCUGUAUUUUAUAGGCAGUGUGAAAGAGACCUGAUUGAAGUGGCCCUGGGCUGAGUGGGUUGCUAGGAGACCAAGUGGGUGGAGCUUAGCCUUCUAACUGGCAGCAGACCAAGUGGGCGGAGCUUAGCCUUCUAACUGGCAGCAAUUGGCUAAGAACAAUUAUUCCUCCCCCUCUAAUUAGGAGUUUAUUUUUCAUUUCUUUUUGUUGUAUGAAUGUAGAGGCAUGGAUGAGGGGUUGUGCUGCCAAGUUUAGUGUUUCUGGGAUGUGUAGUUUUGUUGUUUUCUCCUAGGCCGAAAUUUCAUUACUCUUUUAUAUAUAUAGAUUUAAUCCUGUUGAGUGGUUUUAGCUUCCGCAAGAACUUUGGGUUCAGGAGCCCGGUGUGUCGAACAGAAUGAGACGCAGACAGGUUGAAGGCAAAGAGCGGAGGUUCGUUCUCACCGGCCCGAAUAGGAUGUCUGUGCAGAAAGCACUCCGAAGUAGUAAUAUAACACAAUUGAGAAUAAAACGAGUGUUUUAAAAUUUUCAUUUGACAGUUAUUCAAGAAACCCAUGCCAGCUCCGGAUUGAUCCAACUAUGAUCCGGCUAGGAUCCGAGCAUUCAUUGGCUGAGGAUUCUGUGGAGUGUCGUUGCCAGUUGGCUCUUUCUUGGUGGCGGGAAAUCCAAUAAAGUCAAUUCAAAAUGUCAGUCCAUUCAAUGUUCUGCCUCUAAGAGAAUUGCGGUGUGGCAAAAGUCAACGAGUCCCCGGUUAUCUUAAUGGGCUGAUUCUGGUGGUUAAAGUACACAGUGUUUGGUGAAUGGGCUUAAUAACACCAUAAAAGUAUACAGCAGAGCAGCUUAUUUAGCAGCAGCAGCAGCGUGACCCAGAACCAGAUGAAAUAAAAACACACAGACUAUUGUUAUGUUCCUUUGGAGGCUUUUCUUGUUGAAAAAUAAUAUGGUUACAAAAAUAAGGUUUCCAUAACAUAAAAUUCUUUACACUUCCUCGUUAUAUUUUUGCUUCAGCUUCUUGCCUUCACGCUGGGCUUCUCUCUCAUACAAACUUCAAACUGGAGCAGCUCUCUCCUUGAAGGAGUCAAACACAGCACUCUUUACACCGAGUCAUUCUUCACACAGAAGGAAGUCUUCACACAGGAGGAGCAACUCACUCACAAGCACACCUGCCUAGAUUAUCCUACUUGCUUAUUCAUUGCAUCAUUUUAACUCUUUCGGUGCCUGUUCAUCACUUUUUGCAAUUAAAAAUACAUUGUUGAUUUUCAAUAUUUCUGGCACACAACGAGUGCUGAGAGGUGGUGACUAUUUCGACGAGUGAGGCUGGCUUGAGGCAUAGGUGACUGAUUGUAAGGAAGAUAAUAACGACUGCCACCAAUUUGUGAAGAGCUAAUAACGCCUGCCACCAAUUUGUAAAGAUGCAACCACCAAAGACUCAGGGAGGAGACCUUCUACUUUAUUUCUUUCUUCUUCUUAUUCACUUUAGAUGGUAGCGUAAUUUGGUUUAUAAUAUAUGUGACAGAGGCUUAGAUGUUGGAAGAACAAUAACAAGUUUAUUCAGGCGCCGAGCUUAGUGGUUGCAAUGUUGUUUCUCACUUAGAGGUAUUUUUAUUAACAGUUACAAUACUAGAAUGAGAUGAGUCAAACUCUCUAAAGUAGCUUUCUCUGCUACUUUUAAACCGCAGUCACCCCUGUGAUACACGAUCACAGAUUCUCUGUUCCUUACCAGGACACAGACUACAUUAAAUAAGUCACCAAACUUAUUUUAAACCGACUCAAAAUGAACAAUUGAGUCUCCUUGAUUCCCUCAAGCUAGGAUCAGUCUUCCCUGUGCCUCAUCAGAGCACAGACUGAAUCUCUUUUUUAAACUCUGCACUUCUUCAACUAACGGCAGUUGGCUCCGCCUACUUUUCCAUGGCAACCAGCCUCUGAGUGCUGAGAUGCAAUAACUGUAAUACUUACCCUUUUAAAACACAAACACACAAUUAAACAUAACAUCUGUAAACCUAAAAUUCGUACUUCAUUACACUGAUCUUCUCGCAGAGAGUGCCAGUCUUAUCAAUGAGAACAGGAAAUGGACUUGACAUGAAUUCUCCCAGUUCAUUGUGAGGGGACUAUGGAAAUUAGAGUUUGGGUGUUACCAGACAGCAUUCUGGUGACAAUUGCCAUUAACUAUUUGCCACACGGGUGACGAGAGGAGAGAAAACACAUACAACACUCCUGCUGGGUAGGCACAUGAAUCAAUCCUCUCACGGCUUCCUCCUUCAGCUGCACAAUGCGACGGACUGUCUCCAAGGCAGGCAGCUAUGUUCAGAUCCAAAAACACAAUGCAGAGUCUUGGUCACCAUCAGCAGAGAGACCCGGUCCAACCGCCAGGCGAGGGAAACAUUUGCCUGUGGCACCAUCAUCCGGUGGGCGCUUUCAAGGCCCCGGGAAGAGCAGAGAUAAUAAUAAUAAUAAUAAUAAUAAUAAUAAUAAUAAUAGCUUUAUUUUUGUACCCCACUUCCAUCUCCCCAAGGGAACUUGGAGUGGCUAACAUGGGGAUGAGCCCAGUCAACAUCGUAAAAUAUAAUCACAUUAAAAUACAUGCUGCUGCUGCUCAAUCGCAUAAGCAGAGUAUAACUUAUAAGCAGAGUAUAACUGUAACAUCUGCCCUUUUUCUGCACGCUGUUUAGAAAAACUCACUGGCUCAGUUUUCACCCAAAAUACGAGGGUUGAAUGAAAAGUAAUGCCUCCGCCUUCGUUACUUGGGUUUGGAUGGGAAGUUUGGGAAGUGUCCCUUAACUUUCUCUGAGUGCAUCUACACAGCCAUGAUGAUGAUAAUGAUGGCAUUGACACAGUGGAAAUAAUGGGGUCUGCCACCCCUUUCACCACCAUGACUCCCUGCUAUGGAACCCCGGGAGUU
RNAcentral lists this long non-coding RNA (4595 nucleotides) under Anolis carolinensis (green anole). RNAcentral describes it as "lncRNA (ENSACAG00000039989.1)". The record is from RNAcentral. Lineage: Eukaryota; Metazoa; Chordata; Lepidosauria; Squamata; Anolidae.